RNAcentral lists this ribosomal RNA (433 nucleotides) under uncultured bacterium. RNAcentral describes it as "partial 16S ribosomal RNA". It matches the Rfam family "Bacterial small subunit ribosomal RNA", at positions 29 to 507 of the family's 1533-position model. The record is from RNAcentral.
AGCGAACGCUGGCGGCAGGCUUAACACAUGCAAGUCGAGCGGGCCCUUCGGGGUCAGCGGCCGACGGGUGAGUAACACGUGGGAACGUACCCUUUGGUUCGGAAUAACGCUGGGAAACUAGCGCUAAUACCGGAUACGCCCUUUUGGGGAAAGGCUUGCUGCCGAAGGAUCGGCCCGCGUCUGAUUAGCUAGUUGGUGGGGUAAUGGCCUACCAAGGCGACGAUCAGUAGCUGGUCUGAGAGGAUGAUCAGCCACACUGGGACUGAGACACGGCCCAGACUCCUACGGGAGGCAGCAGUGGGGAAUAUUGGACAAUGGGCGCAAGCCUGAUCCAGCCAUGCCGCGUGAGUGAUGAAGGCCUUAGGGUUGUAAAGCUCUUUUGUCCGGGACGAUAAUGACGGUACCGGAAGAAUAAGCCCCGGCUAACUUCGUG